Molecule: ribosomal RNA, 497 nt
Filed under: uncultured bacterium
Lineage: Bacteria
Description: partial 16S ribosomal RNA
Rfam family: Bacterial small subunit ribosomal RNA
Source: RNAcentral
GAUGAACGCUGGCGGCGUGCCUAAUACAUGCAAGUCGAGCGAACGGACGAGAAGCUUGCUUUUCUGAUGUUAGCGGCGGACGGGUGAGUAACACGUGGAUAACCUACCUAUAAGACUGGGAUAACUUCGGGAAACCGGAGCUAAUACCGGAUAAUAUUUUGAACCGCAUGGUUCAAAAGUGAAAGACGGUCUUGCUGUCACUUAUAGAUGGAUCCGCGCUGCAUUAGCUAGUUGGUAAGGUAACGGCUUACCAAGGCAACGAUGCAUAGCCGACCUGAGAGGGUGAUCGGCCAAACUGGAACUGAGACACGGUCCAGACUCCUACGGGAGGCAGCAGUAGGGAAUCUUCAGCAAUGGGCGAAAGCCUGACGGAGCAACGCCGCGUGAGUGAUGAAGGUCUUCGGAUCGUAAAACUCUGUUAUUAGGGAAGAACAGAUGUGGAAGUAACUGUGCACAUCUUGACGGUACCUAAUCAGAAAGCCACGGCUAACUACGUG